Ictalurus punctatus (channel catfish) is the source of this 394-nucleotide long non-coding RNA. NCBI's taxonomy places the organism in Eukaryota, Metazoa, Chordata, Actinopteri, Siluriformes, Ictaluridae. The record is from Ensembl.
UGAAUCUUCCAGUGAGCGCCAUUGGGGCCAUUAUCUGCAAGUGGAAGCAACAUCACUCCGUCAUCAACCGGCCACGCACAGGAGCUCCUCGCAAGAUUUCUGACCAGGGAGUCAGAAGAAUAAUCAGAACAGUAGCCCAAGAGCCAAGGAGCACUCGGAAAGAGCUCCAGAAACACCUGGAGGCAGCAGUUGCUGAUGGGCACAUCGUAAUUAUUGACCCUUCUUCAGCAGCACACCCUGCCACAGUCGACGAAGAUGAAGAGACCACCUCUGCUGUGAAAGAGGAAUUGUCUUAGACAUGGACACCAGCUGGCUACUAUACAGAAUUCUCCAGAGACAGCGGCCCACACAGUGGAACCAAAGAAGACGUGGCUCAAGCAAGCUGAAAAACGAC